Molecule: transfer RNA, 69 nt
Filed under: Penelopides panini (Visayan tarictic hornbill)
Lineage: Eukaryota; Metazoa; Chordata; Aves; Bucerotiformes; Bucerotidae
Description: tRNA-His
Rfam family: tRNA
About the family: Transfer RNA (tRNA) molecules are approximately 80 nucleotides in length. Their secondary structure includes four short double-helical elements and three loops (D, anti-codon, and T loops).
Source: RNAcentral
GCAGGCAUAGUUUAACCCAAACAUUAGAUUGUGAUUCUAAAAAUAGAAGCUAGACCCUUCUUGCCUACC